RNAcentral lists this small RNA (213 nucleotides) under Arsenophonus endosymbiont of Bemisia tabaci Q2. RNAcentral describes it as "GlmZ RNA activator of glmS mRNA". It matches the Rfam family "GlmZ RNA activator of glmS mRNA". Rfam says of the family: This RNA was discovered in E. coli during a large scale screen. The record is from Rfam by way of RNAcentral. Lineage: Bacteria; Pseudomonadati; Pseudomonadota; Gammaproteobacteria; Enterobacterales; Morganellaceae.
GUAAAUGCUCAUCCUGCUUCUUGUGAUAGCUUUAAGCUUCAUAAACUAUAAACUAUAAACUAUUGGAUGACGCAGAGCCAAUUUGAUGUGCCUAUUGUCCACGUUAUCGAUGCAUAAAUAUCCAUCACCAACCGGACGCAACGUUGAGUGAGGCACAAUCCGUCUGUAGAACAGAUUGUAUUUUGACACCUAUCAAAAGAUAGGUGUUUUUUG